RNAcentral lists this ribosomal RNA (253 nucleotides) under uncultured bacterium. RNAcentral's name for it is "partial 16S ribosomal RNA". It matches the Rfam family "Bacterial small subunit ribosomal RNA", at positions 524 to 776 of the family's 1533-position model. The record is from RNAcentral.
UACGGAGGGUGCGACCGUUAAUCGGAAUCACUGGGCGUAAAGCGCGCGUAGGCGGUCUGUUAAGUGGGAUGUGAAAUCCCCGGGCUUAACCUGGGAAUUGCAUUUCAAACUGGCCGACUAGAGUACGGUAGAGGGAGGUAGAAUUUCCUGUGUAGCGGUGAAAUGCGUAGAUAUAGGAAGGAAUACCAGUGGCGAAGGCGGCCUCCUGGAUCGAUACUGACGCUGAGGCGCGAAAGCGUGGGGAGCAAACAGG